Molecule: ribosomal RNA, 252 nt
Filed under: uncultured bacterium
Lineage: Bacteria
Description: partial 16S ribosomal RNA
Rfam family: Bacterial small subunit ribosomal RNA
Source: RNAcentral
UACGUAGGAUGCGAGCGUUAUCCGGAUUUAUUGGGUUUAAAGGGUGCGUAGGCGGGCUUUUAAGUCAGCGGUAAAAAUUCGGGGCUCAACCCCGUCCGGCCGUUGAAACUGGGGGCCUUGAGUGGGCGAGAAGAAGGCGGAAUGCGUGGUGUAGCGGUGAAAUGCAUAGAUAUCACGCAGAACCCCGAUUGCGAAGGCAGCCUUCCGGCGCCCUACUGACGCUGAGGCACGAAAGUGUGGGGAUCGAACAGG